ACGCGACGAACCUUACCAGGUCUUGACAUCCCUCUGACCGGUAUAGAGAUAUACCUUUCCUUCGGGACAGAGGAGACAGGUGGUGCAUGGUUGUCGUCAGCUCGUGUCGUGAGAUGUUGGGUUAAGUCCCGCAACGAGCGCAACCCUUGAUCUUAGUUGCCAGCAUUUCGGAUGGGCACUCUAAGGUGACUGCCGGUGACAAACCGGAGGAAGGUGGGGAUGACGUCAAAUCAUCAUGCCCCUUAUGACCUGGGCUACACACGUACUACAAUGGCCAGUACAACGGGAAGCGAAGCCGCGAGGUGGAGCCAAUCCUAAAAAGCUGGUCUCAGUUCGGAUUGCAGGCUGCAACUCGCCUGCAUGAAGUCGGAAUUGCUAGUAAUCGCGGAUCAGCAUGCCGCGGUGAAUACGUUCCCGGGUCUUGCACACACCGCCCGU
This 438-nucleotide ribosomal RNA is filed under the name uncultured bacterium. RNAcentral describes it as "bacterial SSU rRNA". It matches the Rfam family "Bacterial small subunit ribosomal RNA", at positions 959 to 1397 of the family's 1533-position model. The record is from RNAcentral.